UACGAAGGGUGCAAGCGUUACUCGGAAUUACUGGGCGUAAAGCGUGCGUAGGUGGUGAGUUAAGUCUGUCGUGAAAGCCCCGGGCUCAACCUGGGAAUGGCGUUGGAUACUGGCUCGCUAGAGUGCGGUAGAGGAGAGUGGAAUUCCCGGUGUAGCAGUGAAAUGCGUAGAGAUCGGGAGGAACAUCAGUUGCGAAGGCGGCUCUCUGGACCAGCACUGACACUGAGGCACGAAAGCGUGGGGAGCAAACAGG
Molecule: ribosomal RNA, 253 nt
Filed under: uncultured bacterium
Lineage: Bacteria
Description: partial 16S ribosomal RNA
Rfam family: Bacterial small subunit ribosomal RNA
Source: RNAcentral